GGGAGCAUCGCCAAGCGGUAAGGCAAGGGUCUGCAAAACCCUCAUCCCCGGUUCGAAUCCGGGUGCUCCCUCCA
RNAcentral lists this transfer RNA (74 nucleotides) under Hydrogenibacillus schlegelii. RNAcentral describes it as "tRNA-Cys". It matches the Rfam family "tRNA". Rfam says of the family: Transfer RNA (tRNA) molecules are approximately 80 nucleotides in length. The record is from RNAcentral. Lineage: Bacteria; Bacillati; Bacillota; Bacilli; Thermicanales; Thermicanaceae.